GGGGAAUCUUGCACAAUGCGCGAAAGCGUGAUGCAGCAACGCCGCGUGGGGGAAGAAGGCCUUCGGGUUGUAAACCCCUUUCAGUUGGGACGAAGCUUCGUCGGUGAAUAGCCGGCCGGAGUGACGGUACCUUCAGAAGAAGCCCCGGCUAACUACGUGCCAGCAGCCGCGGUAAUACGUAGGGGGCAAGCGUUGUCCGGAAUCAUUGGGCGUAAAGCGCGUGUAGGCGGUUCGAUACGUCUGCUGUGAAAGUCCAGGGCUCAACCCUGGGAUGCCGGUGGAUACUGUCGGGCUAGAGUACGGAAGAGGCGAGUGGAAUUCCCGGUGUAGCGGUGAAAUGCGCAGAUAUCGGGAGGAACACCAAUUGCGAAGGCAGCUCGCUGGGACGUCACUGACGCUGAGACGCGAAAGCGUGGGGAGCAAAC
Molecule: ribosomal RNA, 425 nt
Filed under: uncultured bacterium
Lineage: Bacteria
Description: bacterial SSU rRNA
Rfam family: Bacterial small subunit ribosomal RNA
Source: RNAcentral